RNAcentral lists this ribosomal RNA (497 nucleotides) under uncultured bacterium. Its description in RNAcentral is "partial 16S ribosomal RNA". It matches the Rfam family "Bacterial small subunit ribosomal RNA", at positions 28 to 507 of the family's 1533-position model. The record is from RNAcentral.
GAUGAACGCUGGCGGCGUGCCUAAUACAUGCAAGUCGAGCGAACGGACGAGAAGCUUGCUUCUCUGAUGUUAGCGGCGGACGGGUGAGUAACACGUGGAUAACCUACCUAUAAGACUGGGAUAACUUCGGGAAACCGGAGCUAAUACCGGAUAAUAUUUUGAACCGCAUGGUUCAAAAGUGAAAGACGGUCUUGCUGUCACUUAUAGAUGGAUCCGCGCUGCAUUAGCUAGUUGGUAAGGUAACGGCUUACCAAGGCAACGAUGCAUAGCCGACCUGAGAGGGUGAUCGGCCACACUGGAACUGAGACACGGUCCAGACUCCUACGGGAGGCAGCAGUAGGGAAUCUUCCGCAAUGGGCGAAAGCCUGACGGAGCAACGCCGCGUGAGCGAUGAAGGUCUUCGGAUCGUAAAACUCUGUUAUUAGUGAAGAACAUAUGUGUAAGUAACUGUGCACAUCUUGACGGUACCUAAUCAGAAAGCCACGGCUAACUACGUG